UCAUGAUGGCACACACCUGUAGUCCCAGCUACAGGAGGCUGAGGGCUCCAGAUUGGCCAACCUUAACAAGAAGCCUCUGUAAUCCAUACAAUUCAGCCUCCCAGGACACAGAGAAGGGUGGAGAAUGGUGAAAAGUGGAUUUUGAGGAGCAAAUAAAUAGAAGUAUUUUUACCUAAA
Molecule: long non-coding RNA, 177 nt
Organism: Macaca mulatta (Rhesus monkey)
Lineage: Eukaryota; Metazoa; Chordata; Mammalia; Primates; Cercopithecidae
Source: RefSeq, a predicted model, not a curated record